UGGACUAUUGAAGACAUGAAUGGUGCUUCUCUGGGCUUGACAAACUGAGGCGGCUGAUACUCCAAGGAAAUCGGAUCCGAUCUAUUACUAAAAAAGCCUUCACUGGUUUGGAUGCAUUGGAAUAUUUAGACCUGAGUGACAACGCAAUCAUGUCUUUACAAGGCAAUGCAUUUUCACAAAUGAAGAAACUGCAACAAUUGCAUUUAAAUACAUCAAGCCUUUUGUGCGAUUGCCAACUAAAAUGCUCCCACAGUGGGUGGCGGAAAACAACUUUCAGAGCUUUGUAAAUGCCAGUUGUGCCCAUCCUCAGCUGCUAAAAGGAAGAAGCAUUUUGCUGUUAGCCCAGAUGGCUUUCUGUGCCAAUGAUUUUCCCAACCCCAGAUCACGGUUCAGCCAGAAACACAGUCGGCAAUAAAAGGUUCCAAUUUGAGUUUCAAUCUGCUCAGCUGCCAGCAGCAGUGAUUCCCCAAUGACUUUUGCUUGGAAAAAAACAAUGAACUACUGCAUAUCCGAAAUGGAAAAUUAUGCACACCUCCGGGCCCAAGUGGCGAGGUGAUGGAGUAUACCACCAUCCUUCGCUGCGCGAGGUGGAAUUUGCCAGUGAGGGGAAAUAUCAGUGUGUCAUCUCCAAUCACUUCGGUUCAUCCUACUCUGUCAAAGCCAAGCUUACAGUAAAUAUGCUUCCCUCAUUCACCAAGACCCCCAUGGACCUCACCAUCCGAGCUGGGCCAUGGCACGCUUGGAGUGUGCUGCUGUGGGGCACCCAGCCCCCAGAUAGCCUGGCAGAAGGAUGGGGGCACAGACUUCCCAGCUGCACGGGAGAGACGCAUGCAUGUGAUGCCCGAGGAUGACGUGUUCUUUAUUGUGGAUGUGAAGAUAGAGGACAUUGGGGUAUACAGCUGCACAGCUCAGAACAAUGCAGGAAGUAUUUCUGCAAAUGCAACUCUGACUGUCCUAGAAACACCGUCAUUUUUGCGGCCACUGUUGGACCGAACUGUAACCAAGGGAGAAACGGCUGUCCUACAGUGCAUUGCUGGAGGAAGCCCUCCCCCCAAACUGAACUGGACCAAAGAUGAUAGCCCUUUGGUGGUAACCGAGAGGCACUUUUUUGCAGCAGGCAAUCAGCUUCUGAUUAUUGUGGACUCAGAUGUCAGUGAUGCUGGGAAAUACACGUGUGAGAUGUCUAAUACCCUUGGCACUGAGAGAGGAAACGUGCGCCUGAGUGUGAUCCCCACUCCGACCUGCGACUCCCCUCAGAUGACCGCCCCAUCGUUAGACGAUGACGGAUGGGCCACUGUGGGUGUCGUGAUCAUAGCCGUGGUUUGCUGUGUGGUGGCACGUCACUCGUGUGGGUGGUCAUCAUAUACCACACAAGGCGGAGGAAUGAAGAUUGCAGCAUUACCAACACAGAUGAGACCAACUUGCCAGCAGAUACUCCUAGUUAUUUGUCAUCUCAGGGAACGUUAGCUGACAGGCAGGAUGGGUACGUGUCUUCAGAAAGUGGAAGCCACCACCAAUUUGUCACAUCUUCAGGUGCUGGAUUUUUCUUACCACAACAUGACAGUAGUGGUACCUGCCAUAUUGACAAUAGCAGUGAAGCUGAUGUGGAAGCUGCCACAGAUCUGUUCCUUUGUCCCUUUUUGGGAUCUACAGGCCCUGUGUAUUUGAAGGGAAAUGUGUAUGGCUCAGAUGCUUUUGAAACGUAUCAUACAGGUUGCAGUCCUGACCCAAGAACAGCUUUAAUGGACCACUAUGAGCCCAGUUACAUAAAGAAAAAGGAGUGCUACCCAUGUUCUCAUCCUUCAGAAGAAUCCUGCGAACGAAGCUUCAGUAGUAUAGCAUGGCCUUCACAUGUGAGGAAGCUACUUAACACUAGUUACUCUCAAAAUGAAGGACCUGGAAUGAAAAAUCUGUGCCUAAACAAGUCCUCUUUAGAUUUUAGCGCAAAUCCAGAGUCAGCGUCAGUUGCCUCGAGUAAUUCUUUCAUGGGUACAUUUGGAAAAGCUCUCAGGAGACCUCACCUAGAUGCCUAUUCAAGCUUUGGACAGCCAUCAGAUUGUCAGCCAAGAGCCUUUUAUUUGAAAGCUCAUUCUUCCCCAGACUUGGACUCUGGGUCAGAGGAAGAUGGGAAAGAAAGGACAGAUUUUCAGGAAGAAAAUCACAUUUGUACCUUUAAACAGACUUUAGAAAACUACAGGACUCCAAAUUUUCAGUCUUCUGACUUGGACACAUAGACUGAAUGAGACCAAAGGAAAAGCUUA
RNA transcript from Nomascus leucogenys (northern white-cheeked gibbon), 2261 nucleotides. It is a transcript of the gene named leucine-rich repeats and immunoglobulin-like domains protein 3, with no coding region annotated. The transcript is spliced from 13 exons. The record is from RefSeq and is a predicted model, not a curated record. NCBI's taxonomy places the organism in Eukaryota, Metazoa, Chordata, Mammalia, Primates, Hylobatidae.